GACGAACGCUGGCGGCGUGCCUAAUACAUGUAAGUCAAACGAACUCUGGUAUUGAUUGGUGCUUGCAUCAUGAUUUACAUUUGAGUGAGUGGCGAACUGGUGAGUAACACGUGGGAAACCUGCCCAGAAGCGGGGGAUAACACCUGGAAACAGAUGCUAAUACCGCAUAACAACUUGGACCGCAUGGUCCGAGCUUGAAAGAUGGCUUCGGCUAUC
This 216-nucleotide ribosomal RNA is filed under the name uncultured bacterium. RNAcentral describes it as "partial 16S ribosomal RNA". It matches the Rfam family "Bacterial small subunit ribosomal RNA", at positions 28 to 222 of the family's 1533-position model. The record is from RNAcentral.